This 751-nucleotide ribosomal RNA is filed under the name uncultured Halomonas sp. Its description in RNAcentral is "bacterial SSU rRNA". It matches the Rfam family "Bacterial small subunit ribosomal RNA", at positions 28 to 776 of the family's 1533-position model. Lineage: Bacteria; Pseudomonadati; Pseudomonadota; Gammaproteobacteria; Oceanospirillales; Halomonadaceae. The record is from RNAcentral.
AUUGAACGCUGGUGGCAGGCCUAACACAUGCAAGUCGAGCGGUAACAGAUCCAGCUUGCUGGAUGCUGACGAGCGGCGGACGGGUGAGUAAUGCAUAGGAAUCUGCCCGAUAGUGGGGGAUAACCUGGGGAAACCCAGGCUAAUACCGCAUACGUCCUACGGGAGAAAGGGGGCUCCGGCUCCCGCUAUCGGAUGAGCCUAUGUCGGAUUAGCUGGUUGGUGAGGUAACGGCUCACCAAGGCGACGAUCCGUAGCUGGUCUGAGAGGAUGAUCAGCCACAUCGGGACUGAGACACGGCCCGAACUCCUACGGGAGGCAGCAGUGGGGAAUAUUGGACAAUGGGGGGAACCCUGAUCCAGCCAUGCCGCGUGUGUGAAGAAGACCCUCGGGUUGUAAAGCACUUUCAGUGAGGAAGAACGCCUGGUGGUUAAUACCCAUCAGGAAAGACAUCACUCACAGAAGAAGCACCGGCUAACUCCGUGCCAGCAGCCGCGGUAAUACGGAGGGUGCGAGCGUUAAUCGGAAUUACUGGGCGUAAAGCGCGCGUAGGUGGCUUGAUAAGCCGGUUGUGAAAGCCCCGGGCUCAACCUGGGAACGGCAUCCGGAACUGUCAGGCUAGAGUGCAGGAGAGGAAGGUAGAAUUCCCGGUGUAGCGGUGAAAUGCGUAGAGAUCGGGAGGAAUACCAGUGGCGAAGGCGGCCUUCUGGACUGACACUGACACUGAGGUGCGAAAGCGUGGGUAGCAAACAGG